UACAGAGGUCCCAAGCGUUGUUCGGAUUCAUUGGGCGUAAAGGGUGCGUAGGUGGCGUCGUAAGUCGGGUGUGAAAUUUCGGAGCUCAACUCCGAAACUGCAUUCGAUACUGCGGUGCUUGAGGACUGGAGAGGAGACUGGAAUUUACGGUGUAGCAGCGAAAUGCGUAGAGAUCGUAAGGAAGACCAGUGGCGAAGGCGGGUCUCUGGACAGUUCCUGACACUGAGGCACGAAGGCCAGGGGAGCAAACGGG
RNAcentral lists this ribosomal RNA (253 nucleotides) under uncultured bacterium. Its description in RNAcentral is "partial 16S ribosomal RNA". It matches the Rfam family "Bacterial small subunit ribosomal RNA", at positions 524 to 776 of the family's 1533-position model. The record is from RNAcentral.